MicroRNA precursor from Bos indicus x Bos taurus (hybrid cattle), 57 nucleotides. NCBI's taxonomy places the organism in Eukaryota, Metazoa, Chordata, Mammalia, Artiodactyla, Bovidae. The record is from Ensembl.
AAAGUUCGUUGGAGUUUCUCUGUUACAUUGUACAGAAAAACACGAACAAACUUUUUG